UUGACAUCAAAUCAGGUAGACGCCCGUC
Molecule: ribosomal RNA, 28 nt
Filed under: Entoloma sp. XLH-2013c
Lineage: Eukaryota; Fungi; Basidiomycota; Agaricomycetes; Agaricales; Entolomataceae
Description: partial 28S large subunit ribosomal RNA
Source: RNAcentral